GACGGAGGAUGCAAGUGUUAUCCGGAAUCACUGGGCGUAAAGCGUCUGUAGGUGGUCAAAUAAGUCAACUGUUAAAUCUUGAGGCUCAACCUCAAAUCGCAGUCGAAACUAUUAGACUAGAGUAUAGUAGGGGUAAAGGGAAUUUCCAGUGGAGCGGUGAAAUGCGUAGAGAUUGGAAAGAACACCGAUGGCGAAGGCACUUUACUGGGCUAUUACUAACACUCAGAGACGAAAGCUAGGGUAGCAAAUGGG
RNAcentral lists this ribosomal RNA (252 nucleotides) under uncultured bacterium. RNAcentral's name for it is "partial 16S ribosomal RNA". It matches the Rfam family "Bacterial small subunit ribosomal RNA", at positions 524 to 776 of the family's 1533-position model. The record is from RNAcentral.